RNAcentral lists this unclassified non-coding RNA (1552 nucleotides) under Centruroides sculpturatus (bark scorpion). Its description in RNAcentral is "uncharacterized LOC111614929, transcript variant X1". The record is from RNAcentral. Lineage: Eukaryota; Metazoa; Arthropoda; Arachnida; Scorpiones; Buthidae.
UGAAACGAACGAUCUUCUUUUCAGUUUGAAUAUAGAAAGAUCUAUAUUUGAUUGUUUCGUGUAAAAUACAUACACGAUAUUUUCUAUCGGUCAGGUGAAUUCAUAAAAUUUGCUUAUUUAAUAUACUAAUUAACGUUUACGUAACUAAACUAUAACACGCAUAUUUAAUAUAACCGAUGACGUCAGGUAAGCGCUCUUAAAAUGGCGUCGGAUAAACGAAAUAUUAAGAAAUUCAGUAAAAAUUGCGCUGUCGGUCAAUCGGAAACUUGGUCGGAAAAUACCGGACGAACGAGAGGGAGGAUUUCUUCUAGUUUUGGGGGUGGCGAGGUAAAGAUGACGUUCGAUUUUAGAAAAUCUCGCUUCUAACCCCUGGUGGAGAAUGGAAACCGAAGGCGGAGGGCGGUAGGGAGAGUCUCGAUCCCAAUCCGUCGUCACUCGGGGGAUAGAAACGUGAAAAAUGCAGAUAUUUAGCCUUAAAAUUCAAAAAGAAUCCAUGACGUCAAUCGCAUUCGAAUUCGUUGCGAGCUUUCUAAUCUCGCAACAAUUGCCGUUUCUAUGGAAACGCGUAUUGUUGCAACACGAUUUUGCGUCACUUUGCACGUUUUUCGCUUGCUGGACGGACGUGUACGCUCUUUGCUCUUGUUUCUGCUGUGUUUUUUACCUUUUUUCAGUGUUUUUGCUACCCGAACGUGGUUUUAAGAAGACUUGUGGACGCCGACAUUACACCAAGUAAGAUUUUAAUUAGAAUUUAGCUAGUUGUAAGAUUUUAUUUUCGUUUCGUUUAGUCCAACUUUCGGAGACGACAUCGGCCGACUCGGACUUUGUAUAUUUGCGUUUAAAUCUGCCGUCGCUUGUGUUUUUCGUUUGAAUUACCAUCCGAAACGUACCUCUUUCGACUUUUAAAUGAGCCGCCACAUUGGAAAGCGACCGAAGCGCCGAAAACGACGGACGCAAAGGAUUAAAAUGAAGAGCUGGCGGUUUUGGCGUUGGCUGCGGCCCAAGAAGAUGAAGAAGUGUGAAGGGCGUUCUCCUUCCGCAAUCGAUGAAGAGAGGGUCUUUUCCCCCUUUGAGCGGGGAGAGGAACUCUCUUCCAUCGAUUGCGGAAGGGGUUCUUCCUUCACGGGAUCGCCUUCGGGAAUAGCGGAUGUCGACAGCAUUCUCUGUUCCGCGUUGAACGGAGAGGAGACAUUUCGCCAUUCGGACGUGUUCCGAAAGGUGAAAUGUCUCCAUGUUGACGACAUCAUCUUUGACGCACUGGGAGGGGAGGAAUGUUUCGAUCAUUCCUCCCUUUUCCAACGAGUGGGAUCCUCUCGUUCGGUGUGGGCAAAGAUGGAAAGGAAAAAGCGUCGCUUCGUAAGAGAAGUGAACGACUUUUUCCUUUGCUAUUUCUGAAGGAUAUUACUAACCUAGGAUAAGAAGGCAAGAGGUUUUUUUCGUUUGUUUUUUCCUCUUGUCAUACUAACAACAUUUAAAUUUAAGGUUUUAGUUUCAAUUUACUAACGUAGGAUAAGAAGGCAAGAGGUUUUUUUCGUUUGUUUUUUCCUCUUGUCAU